GUCAAUGGCCUAACGGCCGAACCAGCAACUUGGCAGAAUGUACAGUUUUAACUGGUUACAUUGAUACAAAUGUAAUAUCAACUAUGUUGAUUAAAGUUCGAAAUAGAAAAUUGAUGAUGACAUAUUCUAUUUUUAGUCUUGACUAAUACACGUGCCAGCAGUCGCGGUAAUACGUGUAAGACGAGUGUUAUUCAUUAUUAAUAGGUUUAAAGGGUACGUAGACGGUUAAUCAAGCCUAUAUAUUAAUUGGUCCAUUAACAAGAUCAGGAACUGAUUAACUAGAGUUUUAUGGAAGAAGGUUAGAGCGGUGAGUGUAGAGAUAAUAUUCUGUGAUACCACUUAGAGACUGGCGAAGGCGUAGGCAACCUUUUAUGCAUAAACUGACGUUGAGGGACGAAGGCUCGAUUAAGUAACAGGAUUAGAUACCCUAGUAUUGUGAGCAGACAAUGAUGAAUGCCUUAUAUAAGAUACGAGAUUAUUUUGUGUAAAAAUGAAAGUGCAAGCAUUCCACCUCAAGAGUAAUAUGGCAACAUAUAAACUGAAAUCAUUAGACCGUUUCUGAAACCAGUAGUGAAGUAUGUUGUUUAAUUUGAUAAUCCACAAAUAACCUUACCACAAUUUGAAUAUAUGUACCUUUUUGUAAAGGUAAAAAAGUACAAAUACAAGCGUUGCACGGCUGUCUUCAGUUAAUGUCGCGAGAUUUUGGUUAGAUCCAUUAAAUUAACGUAAACCCUUACUUUAUUUAUUAUAAAGUAGUUCGCCAUUAUAUUGGUAGUGAUAUAUGGGACCAAGACAAGUCAUCAUGGCCUAAAUAUUG
Molecule: ribosomal RNA, 817 nt
Filed under: Spirographa aggregata
Lineage: Eukaryota; Fungi; Ascomycota; Lecanoromycetes; Ostropales; Spirographaceae
Description: SSU rRNA
Rfam family: Bacterial small subunit ribosomal RNA
Source: RNAcentral